AAAUAGUAACAUUCCUUUUGUCUUUGUUGGAAAUUGCAGCUGUUCCUUGUGUUGUUCCCGAUGAUUGUCCAAAGGCGAUUUUCCCUGAAUAUUAUAUGUGCAUGGAUAAGAUUUGUGUACUCAUUAAAUACUCCCUCCGGUCCUUUUUAUAAGAAACACUUUAGAAUUUUUAUUUGGUCCUUUUUAUAAGAAAUACUUUGACACAAUUCCAUUUGUACCCUUAUUAAAUACAAUCAAAUAAUUCAUUAUAAUGCUAGUGCAUUAAUUAGAGAGACUUAUUUCCCAUGCUAGUCAAAGGUUAGUUUUGGAAUAUAACAUAAAAUGUUAGAAUCAUUAAUGAGAAAAUUUACCUUCCUUGAUCUGUGUGAUUUUGUCAAAGUGUUUCUUAUAAUAAGGACCGGAGGGA
Molecule: long non-coding RNA, 406 nt
Filed under: Trifolium pratense (red clover)
Lineage: Eukaryota; Viridiplantae; Streptophyta; Magnoliopsida; Fabales; Fabaceae
Description: long non-coding RNA (TPRA_LNC013577)
Source: RNAcentral